ACAGGGAAGCUCUUCGGGAUUCCAGACAUAUGGGGCCUCCCACUCCAUUACCAGCAUCAUGGGCAGGGAGAUGAAGGAAAUUGGGUAGUUAGUUGCGAAGGCUAAAUCAGAACCUCAAGCAGUCAUUUUCCUUGAUAGUGUUUAAGGCUGGUCUUUGGAAAAGCCUUGAUAAAAUAUGAAAGACUUCUCAAUAAUGGAAUAAAAUGUCUCAGUAAUCAGCCCACAUGAGAGAUGUUUCAGAGGGACUCCUACAGAGAAAGUCACUGGCUCUUGAUCUCAUCAAGCUGCUUUCUUCGUUAUUGGAAAAGCCAGGGGAAGAUGAGUAAAUGACACCCUCAAGAUUUUUAGGAACACUGGAAACUAGAUACAGACUAACACGGCUACCACUCUGAAACCUGUGGAUAUUUGCGGUCAUGUGUUUACUCACAGAUGCCCUCCACAAAUGGACCUUUGAAAUGAAGUCUAACUCCAUCAUAAUUGUCUUGAAAUGCAGCUGCAGUGAUCAGUACCUGGCAGAUAUGAAGUUCUUCAUUCCAAGUGGAGUAGCAUCUCCCUGGAGACAGAUUAGAUGAAGAAGAGGAAGAGAAGAUAAAUUGUCACUAACUAAUGCUGGAAGGAGUCUCUGGCUCUCCAUAUUACAGUGAAGAGGACUCUAUGCAGUAGCAGCGUCUCCUAACAUGACUG
Molecule: long non-coding RNA, 684 nt
Organism: Dermochelys coriacea (leatherback sea turtle)
Lineage: Eukaryota; Metazoa; Chordata; Testudines; Dermochelyidae
Exons: 4
Source: RefSeq, a predicted model, not a curated record